GCGUUGUCCGGAUUAUUGGGCGUAAAGGGUACGUAGGCGGCCUUUUAAGUCAGGUGUGAAAGCGUGAGGCUUAACCUCAUUAAGCACUUGAAACUGGAAGGCUUGAGUGAAGGAGAGGAAAGUGGAAUUCCUAGUGUAGCGGUGAAAUGCGUAGAUAUUAGAAGGAACACCGAUGGCGUAGGCAGGCUACUGGGCUGUUUCUGACACUGAGGCACGAAAGCGUGGGGAGCGAACCGGAUUAGAUACCCGGGUAGUCCACGCCGUAAACGAUGGAUACUAGCUGUUUGGGGUAUCGACCCCCUGAGUAGCGAAGCUAACGCGUUAAGUAUCCCGCCUGUGGAGUACGAUCGCAAGAUUAAAACAUAAAGGAAUUGACGGGGACCCGCACAAGCGGUGGAUCAUGUUCUUUAAUUCGAUGAUAACCGAUAAACCUUACCAGGUCUUGACAUCCUUGGAAUCUUUCAGAAAUGAGAGAGUGCUUUUUAAGAGCCAAGUGACAGGUGAUGCAUGGCCGUCGUCAGCUCGUGUCGUGAGAAG
This 537-nucleotide ribosomal RNA is filed under the name uncultured bacterium. Its description in RNAcentral is "bacterial SSU rRNA". It matches the Rfam family "Bacterial small subunit ribosomal RNA", at positions 538 to 1074 of the family's 1533-position model. The record is from RNAcentral.